CGGGACGGGGUGGAGUAAUGUCUGGGAAACUGCCUGAUGGAGGGGGAUAACUACUGGAAACGGUAGCUAAUACCGCAUAACGUCGCAAGACCAAAGAGGGGGACCUUAGGGCCUCUUGCCAUCGGAUGUGCCCAGAUGGGAUUAGCUAGUAGGUGGGGUAACGGCUCACCUAGGCGACGAUCCCUAGCUGGUCUGAGAGGAUGACCAGCCACACUGGAACUGAGACACGGUCCAG
Molecule: ribosomal RNA, 235 nt
Filed under: uncultured bacterium
Lineage: Bacteria
Description: partial 16S ribosomal RNA
Rfam family: Bacterial small subunit ribosomal RNA
Source: RNAcentral